This 301-nucleotide ribosomal RNA is filed under the name uncultured bacterium. RNAcentral describes it as "partial 16S ribosomal RNA". It matches the Rfam family "Bacterial small subunit ribosomal RNA", at positions 509 to 809 of the family's 1533-position model. The record is from RNAcentral.
CAGCCGCCGCGGUAAUACGUAGGGUGCAAGCGUUAAUCGGAAUUACUGGGCGUAAAGCGUGCGCAGGCGGUUAUAUAAGACAGAUGUGAAAUCCCCGGGCUCAACCUGGGAACUGCAUUUGUGACUGUAUAGCUAGAGUACGGCAGAGGGGGAUGGAAUUCCGCGUGUAGCAGUGAAAUGCGUAGAUAUGCGGAGGAACACCGAUGGCGAAGGCAAUCCCCUGGGCCUGUACUGACUCUCAUGCACGAAAGCGUGGGGAGCAAACAGGAUUAGAUACCCCUGUAGUCCCUGUCUCUUAUAU